Equus asinus (donkey) is the source of this 2879-nucleotide long non-coding RNA. Lineage: Eukaryota; Metazoa; Chordata; Mammalia; Perissodactyla; Equidae. The record is from Ensembl.
CUUAGAUCUCUACCUCAAAUCUCUGCCUCCAUUCCUACUGGUGGGAGUUCCAGCCAUCCUUUCCAGCCUGAACCGUUGCAGCAGCCUCCUAAAGUCUCCUGCAGACAAACUCAGCCUCCAUUCAGCCUCCAGAGCGAACUCUCUAAAAUGCGCUUCUCUUUAAAAUCCUGCAGAGGUUCCCCUGGCUUCUGGCCGCAGUGCGGACCUACAAGGUAUCCAAUACAAACCUCGCAGUGCCCUCAAGCUUUUAAAAGACCACAAAGAGCCCCAGACUUCAAGAAGCAGCCAAAAUCCUCAAAGUAAGGCAACACACAGCCAGGCAAGGGAACGCUAUAGGAAGAAAAACAGUGAUUGAAAUAUUUCUAAAAAUUCCCUGCUACAGAUGUUUUGGGUAUGGAAAGAAGAGAAUGUGGACACGGGGGGGAGGAGAUGCUGAGUCACUGGGAAAGGCUUGAGCAUGUUUAUAGGCUGAGGAAAAAACAGAGCCAGGAAAGGAGGAGAAGCCCAAGACAGAGAGAAAGACAGUGAAGCGAGUCUUGAGAAGUCCUGGGAGGCUUGCUGAUCUCCGCCCAGGAUGAUUCUGGGCCUGGGCCCAGCCCUUCCCUCCUUUGAUCCUACUCCCUUUUUAAGACCCAAGCCAUGAUCACAACCCAAGACAGAUGAAACUGAGGAAAACGUAAAGUCCCAUUUUACAGAAUAGAAAAAGAUGUUUAAUAGCUCACUCAAGGUCGCAGAGCUGGUAAACAGCAGCACAGCCAGGAUUCAACCCAGGCAACUUGGCUCCAGGGCCAAACUCUUCAUCAGUAUGACUGAACAAAGCCAUAGUGACCCAUCCUCUGGGAUCCAAAGUCUUUGGAUUAUCUGUUUAAACACCCAGACUCUGACUGCCUCAUGAGCAAGGACCUAACUAAGCCAUCUCUGGAUCCUCAGCUCCUGGCCGAGACCCAGCCCAUGAUGGUGCUCAGUAAUGUGUGCCGAGUAAGUGAGUAACAAAUUAUCAUCAAUUUUCACAACCACUAAGUCAGACUAGCAAUGGAAUGGUUAGGAUUCCCAUCUUACAGGGACGAAAAAUGAGUUCCACAACUUCCCAAGAGGAGGUGAUUCGUCUCACUGCCCCUUUGACUGACUUCAGCCCUCUUUUAUGUUUUCUCUGCUGCUUCCAUGAAAGGUUAGAGGACACGUGUUUACCUUAGGAAGACUUCACCUUAAGAGAGGCUAAAAAAAAUGCCACAGUACUCCCUGUCUUUUCUGGAAAAGGUGGCCAGUGAAAGUAUUUUGAUUAUAAUGUUUGCUUAACAAGCUCUGUUUCCUUUAGCUCCUAUGCCAUUCUGUCCCUGUUUAGCUUGAACCACAGAGGCCUGUGUGUGUGUGUGUGUGUGUGUAUUUUGGAACAGAACAGGGAGCAGAGCUGUGAGUCAGAUGUCUAGAAAUCAGAGUCCAGCGGCCACCACUGAUUCAUUUCUGUUGCUAAGCAAAAUAUGUAAUCUUUUUUUUGCCUCUGCCACGAAACAACAGCCAGGGGCCCCACAUUCUUCUCAGGCCAUGGUGCCAUAGGAUAUGUUGGGUCACACGCUGCUGAGUGUUCAGGGCGUAGGGCCCCUGCUGGAGGAGUGCUAGAAAUCGGUCCUACAAAAGGAGGGAACUCCUGAUUUGUAGCACCUGCCAAUUUCGUGAUGUAAAUACCCCACCACGGCUAAUUUCAAGCUACCAACAGUUUAGGUGGCUCACAAAAUUCUUAGCAGAAACGAAAUAACUUAGCAGUCUGCUUUAAGGAGCCAACAGAAACCAGCUCCAGCACACUGCCACUUAUAGUAACUCCUCAUGUGGACAAGAACAGGAGAAAUACAAGCAGCCUUUAGAUGAUGGUUUUAGGGGCAAGGCCUGCCUCAUAGGAUGUUACAGGGAAUUUCCUUGUAUUUACAUAUAAUGAUUUCACCUCUGAUGAGAAAAGACUAAUUGUAUUGGAGAUGGGAAAACUAGGUAUAAUUCUUAGCAUUCUUAGAAGUAACAUGUUUAUUUCUUUGAAUUUCAAUUUUAAUAGGAAGACUAUUACCGACCUCACAGGAUGGCGGAUUAUCUAAUAAACACAUAUAGCACUUACUGUCUGCUAGGAACUGUUUAAAUACUUUACAAAUUUACAUACUUAACCUUUAUAACAACACUGUAGAGUAAGUACUGUUAUCAGUUUAGAGAUGAAAAGACCAAAGCACAGAGAAGUUAACUAAGUUCUCUAAGGCCACACAGCUAGCAAGUAAUAGAGCCAGGAUUUGAACCUGGCUCCAGAGUCCAUGCAUGCUUUUAACCUCUAGGGCCCCAAGUCAAAGGCACCUGCCUGGUUUAAUAAAUAGAGUUUUAUUGGAACACAGCCAUGCUCGUUCAUUUACAUGUUGUCUGUGGCUGCUUUUGUGUUAGAGUGGCAGAGUUGAGUAGUUGUGGCAGAGACCAUAUGACCCAAAAAGCCCAAAAUAUUUACUAUCUGGUUGUUUACAGAAAACAUUGGCUGCUCCCUACUCUAUGGUGUCCUGCCUAUUUGUAUAGGCUGACACAAUGGUUAUUAUUAGGAGCCUGGUGGUCCCAAAGGUCAAGCUGGUUCUGAAAUUGUGUUCUAGGCCAAUAAGACAAGUGAAAAGUAAUGUCAAGAUUAUAACCGUACCCUAGCAUUUGUACUAUAACAAUUGUGUCAGUGAAAUAGCAUUAGGAUGUAAACUUGAGUAACAAAUAAUCCAUGAAAAUGAGUAUUAAUAGAAAUAUGUGCUUUAUGGGAUCCUGAUAUCUCAGGGUUGAAUUAAUUCAGAGAUUGUUCAUCCCAACCCCAACUCUCCACUGGGGGUUGUUAGACUGGAUUUCUGAAGUUGAUGCUGUAAAUCGCUCACCAUCAG